GUGUUUAAUAUACACCCAAAGGUUUAAGAAACAAAUGUCUUCCUUUGUGCUAACUAAUGCCAUGACUUUGUACUUCAUUUCUACAAUUUUGCCAUGUUUCAGAUGUUAUCUGAUACUGGCUUCAGUUCUUACAGGGCAUACUGUUUCAGCCUGAUCCUUGAGCUCCCUGACAUUAGCAUGCCUUCGCUUAGGGCUAUCAUCUACAAAGUAAGCAAUGGCUUCUCGUUCUUUUUAGUUUGCCUGACUGGAGAUCAUUAGGACUCAUCUAUACUAGAAUUGGUGGUCCCUCAUCUGCAAGUACAGAAAGAAGGCGCAGCUUGGAAAUAGAGAAGGGGUUGCAGAUAGUGGAACAUUGUUGAGUGUUGGCUUUCAAGGGUUAUAGCAUGAAUCAAUUAAACUAAGCCCUUCAUGCAUAAAGCAAAGCUUUUGCCUCUUUGCCAUGGGAUUUUGCUAGUGUGUGCAAAUUAAGGGGGUGGGAUUGAAAGUGAAAAAGGGUUGAUGAUGAUGAAGCAUCACCAUCCAAAACUGAAGAGGGGGAAAAGAAAAAGCAUAUUUCAAGAUACAAGGCUGGGUAUUUUUCUCAUUGAAAACUGUGGUGAAAACUUUUUAUGUGUUAUCAUUGUAGAAUCAUCAAAUAUGUAAGAUAUUAUUUUGUUUUCUCUUCUUGUGUGUGUGUGUGGACCCUUCACCACUUUCUGAUUUAUUUAUUUAUUUAUUUAUUUAUGGUGGUGAAAGGAACCUUUCAUCAAAUAACUUAGGCAGCAGGUAGCUGGAA
Long non-coding RNA from Gossypium arboreum, 775 nucleotides. RefSeq lists it as uncharacterized. Lineage: Eukaryota; Viridiplantae; Streptophyta; Magnoliopsida; Malvales; Malvaceae. The record is from RefSeq and is a predicted model, not a curated record. The transcript is spliced from 2 exons.